GGCAUCGAACUGUCGCCUCGCGCCCCUCGUCAGUUUACGCAUCAAGAUUGGCUUGUGCGAAAUGUCGGGUUCCUGUGUUGCCUACCUAUCUCGAAGGAAUGUUGCCUCUCGUUGCUAUUUCCUCCUCCAGCCCCCCGCGGGUCGGAGGAGGACGUCGUAGCACUGCUUGUGUCCCGAUCAAGCCGCACAUCGUUGUGAGAUUGUGACGGUCCACGAGUUGCUGCUCGAUUUCUCGGAUGCGGAACGCUAAGCGGGCGCGGAGUCUUCGGCCUCCGAUCGUCCAACUCGAAGCCUUUGUCGCUUGAUGCGUACGACUGCCGUCGCCGCUGCGGGCUUUCGACCUCCAAGGUCGCUGGUCUCGCACGGCGUCGGCGUCGAAGAGGAAUGCUACCUGGUU
RNAcentral lists this unclassified non-coding RNA (397 nucleotides) under Neillia affinis. Its description in RNAcentral is "partial external transcribed spacer". Lineage: Eukaryota; Viridiplantae; Streptophyta; Magnoliopsida; Rosales; Rosaceae. The record is from RNAcentral.